This 787-nucleotide ribosomal RNA is filed under the name Enterobacter hormaechei. RNAcentral's name for it is "partial 23S ribosomal RNA". It matches the Rfam family "Bacterial large subunit ribosomal RNA", at positions 401 to 1191 of the family's 2925-position model. The record is from RNAcentral. Lineage: Bacteria; Pseudomonadati; Pseudomonadota; Gammaproteobacteria; Enterobacterales; Enterobacteriaceae. RNAcentral also lists the same sequence under 1 other name.
GAACUCGAAGAGUAGGGCGGGACACGUGGUAUCCUGUCUGAAUAUGGGGGGACCAUCCUCCAAGGCUAAAUACUCCUGACUGACCGAUAGUGAACCAGUACCGUGAGGGAAAGGCGAAAAGAACCCCGGCGAGGGGAGUGAAAAAGAACCUGAAACCGUGUACGUACAAGCAGUGGGAGCACCUUCGGGUGUGACUGCGUACCUUUUGUAUAAUGGGUCAGCGACUUAUAUUCUGUAGCAAGGUUAACCGUAUAGGGGAGCCGAAGGGAAACCGAGUCUUAACUGGGCGUUAAGUUGCAGGGUAUAGACCCGAAACCCGGUGAUCUAGCCAUGGGCAGGUUGAAGGUUGGGUAACACUAACUGGAGGACCGAACCGACUAAUGUUGAAAAAUUAGCGGAUGACCUGUGGCUGGGGGUGAAAGGCCAAUCAAACCGGGAGAUAGCUGGUUCUCCCCGAAAGCUAUUUAGGUAGCGCCUCGUGAACUCAUCUUCGGGGGUAGAGCACUGUUUCGGCUAGGGGGCCAUCCCGGCUUACCAACCCGAUGCAAACUACGAAUACCGAAGAAUGUUAUCACGGGAGACACACGGCGGGUGCUAACGUCCGUCGUGAAGAGGGAAACAACCCAGACCGCCAGCUAAGGUCCCAAAGUCAUGGUUAAGUGGGAAACGAUGUGGGAAGGCACAGACAGCCAGGAUGUUGGCUUAGAAGCAGCCAUCAUUUAAAGAAAGCGUAAUAGCUCACUGGUCGAGUCGGCCUGCGCGGAAGAUGUAACGGGGCUAAACCAUG